CCUACGGGAGGCAGCAGUGGGGAAUCUUGCGCAAUGGGCGAAAGCCUGACGCAGCCAUGCCGCGUGUAUGAUGAAGGUCUUAGGAUUGUAAAAUACUUUCACCGGUGAAGAUAAUGACUGUAGCCGGAGAAGAAGCCCCGGCUAACUUCGUGCCAGCAGCCGCGGUAAUACGAAGGGGGCUAGCGUUGCUCGGAAUUACUGGGCGUAAAGGGAGCGUAGGCGGACAUUUAAGUCAGGGGUGAAAUCCCAGAGCUCAACUCUGGAACUGCCUUUGAUACUGGGUGUCUUGGGUGUGAUAGAGGUAUGUGGAACUCCGAGUGUAGAGGUGAAAUUCGUAGAUAUUCGGAAGAACACCAGUGGCGAAGGCGACAUACUGGAUCAUUACUGACGCUGAGGCUCGAAAGCGUGGGGAGCAAACAGGAUUAGAUACCCUGGUAGUCCACGCCGUAAACGAUGAUUGCUAGUUGUCGGGAUGUUUACAUCUCGGUGACGCAGCUAACGCAUUAAGCAAUCCGCCUGGGGAGUACGGUCGCAAGNUUAAAACUUAAGGAAUUGACGGCUGAGACGNGCGAGCGACACGAGGAGAG
This 587-nucleotide ribosomal RNA is filed under the name uncultured bacterium. Its description in RNAcentral is "bacterial SSU rRNA". It matches the Rfam family "Bacterial small subunit ribosomal RNA", at positions 338 to 943 of the family's 1533-position model. The record is from RNAcentral.